UGGGGAAUAUUGCACAAUGGGCGCAAGCCUGAUGCAGCCAUGCCGCGUGUAUGAAGAAGGCCUUCGGGUUGUAAAGUACUUUCAGCGGGGAGGAAGGGAGUAAAGUUAAUACCUUUGCUCAUUGACGUUACCCGCAGAAGAAGCACCGGCUAGCUCCGUGCCAGCGGCCGCGGUAAUACGGAGGGUGCAAGCGUUAAUCGGAAUUACUGGGCGUAAAGCGCACGCAGGCGGUUUGUUAAGUCAGAUGUGAAAUCCCCGGGCUCAACCUGGGAACUGCAUCUGAUACUGGCAAGCUUGAGUCUCGUAGAGGGGGGUAGAAUUCCAGGUGUAGCGGUGAAAUGCGUAGAGAUCUGGAGGAAUACCGGUGGCGAAGGCGGCCCCCUGGACGAAGACUGACGCUCAGGUGCGAAAGCGUGGGGAGCAAACAGGAUUAGAUACCCUGGUAGUCCACGCCGUAAACGAUGUCGACUUGGAGGUUGUGCCCUUGAGGCGUGGCUUCCGGAGCUAACGCGUUAAGUCGACCGCCUGGGGAGUACGGCCGCAAGGUUA
This 549-nucleotide ribosomal RNA is filed under the name uncultured bacterium. Its description in RNAcentral is "bacterial SSU rRNA". It matches the Rfam family "Bacterial small subunit ribosomal RNA", at positions 355 to 896 of the family's 1533-position model. The record is from RNAcentral.